This is a long non-coding RNA of Helianthus annuus (common sunflower), 3133 nucleotides long. RefSeq lists it as uncharacterized. The transcript has 9 exons. The record is from RefSeq and is a predicted model, not a curated record. NCBI's taxonomy places the organism in Eukaryota, Viridiplantae, Streptophyta, Magnoliopsida, Asterales, Asteraceae.
UCUCUUGCCACCACCAUCUUCCAUCUCUAAUCGCCACCAUCGUGUUUUUUGUCUGUCACCGCCACGUUUUACAAACCCUAGAUAUCAACACAAGUUCUUCUUCUUUCUUCGUUAAUCGUUCUUCUAACACUUUGUUUUCAUUUUGAUUUUUAAGAUUUCAUAGAUUUUAGAUACCAAUGUUUCUUCAUUUAUGUAGAAGUAACUUUCAAAAUAUUUGAAACUAUUUUGACCUGAUAUUGCUUCGUAUGUUGUAAUUGAAACGAAAUUGAGUGAAAUAAUCAUAGAAUAAUAACAUUUGGAAAAGAUAAUUCUGUGAAAUCAAAGAUCUUUAAGCCCACUUCCGUGUCUCUACCCUUCAUCCUUUAACCAAUGGGCGAUUAGAAGCAAGAUCAAUUUAGAAGCAGCCCAGCCCUGGGGAUGAAAUUCAAUAAAAUUGAAUUCUAGGUUUUGGUUAAUUUGUAGUUGUGAUUCGAUAUGCAGAAGCAUCUGUGAGGUAAUUUUCGUUUCAUUAUUUGUGGUUCUUGAAUUGUAAUUUGGUCAAUUGUUUAUUAUUUUGGGUAGUUUUAAUUUGUAGCCUGUGGUUCCUAUUUCACUUUCAAAGCUAAAUAAACCAUUUAUGCCUCUUUUUAGCCUUUUUAUGUAGUUGGCAGGUUGUUAUGCGUUUAGCUUCAUAUUUUUGGACGUGGGAUUAAACAGUUAAUUCUUUUGAUACAGCCAACUGAAAAAACCAGUGUCUAUUUUGCCGAUUGUUUGCCGAAUGAUGAUAUCAAUUGCUGCAGGUUUGUUUAGGAUCAUUAAAAACAAACUUUAAUCCAUCAAUUCUUCAUCAAUCUGAUGUGUAAGUCAAGCAAACCGUGAAAAGGGAAUGUGUAACGGCGACCCACCAGAUCCGGGGAUAGAGGGACGCUUAUAGGUAUCAGACGAGACGAGACGGUGAUGAUUCUGACCAAGAAUCAUAUGGUGGUACAAGGUGAUGAUGUUUUAGGUGAUGAAAGUUCAGAUGUCUUUGCAACAAACUCAAAUGGACAGGUUCUAUUUACUAAUUAGUUUACUGUGGAUGCGGUCAUCAAUUCGAAAUCUAGCCAGGAGGAUGUGUUUCAGUUGGUUGGUGUUUCCAUGGUUAAGUGUGCAAUGGUAGCUUACAACACUUCUAUGGUGGCUUAUGCACAGAUGGCUGACUCAAUGGAUAUGGGUGGACAUUUAUACACACCAACCCUCUGUCGUAUUAUAUCUUUCACCGGUCUGCACCUUUUGCCACUACACAGACAACCUUCCGAAUCUCCCCUCGAUAAUGGCUUCUUCUAUCACUUAUAUACACCUGAUCACACGCACUCAUUCCAAAGUUUCACUCACUGGUGUCCGUCAUGACUGUUUACGUUGCCGUCGCACUCACCGCCGUCAUCCUUCUCUUUUCGGCUACUCACUCCUCCAUCGUCGGAGUGGAGUAUGUUUCUCGUCUUCUUCAGGUUCAGGAUCGAGAGAGAGCUCCGUCAUCCGUACAACUUUCCGCUGCUAGAGCGGUGCUUGAUCGCUUUAUCCCUUCGCAUUCAUCCAGUUUCCAAUUUAACAUCAUCACUUAAGUAAAUUUCAUUUUCGUUUAUUGUUUAUUUAAAUAGGGCUUUGUAAUUUUUUACUAUACCUGCUGGAUUAUGAUAUUUGAUUUCCCUUGCAUCUUUUGACUUUUGUGGAAAUUCAAUUGACUGAUGAAGUCAAUCAGGUGUUUUUUGAUUUUCCUUAUAGCGUUCAGAUAGUGAGAGAAAGUUGAGUAAAAUAAAUUUUUGGAUGAUAGUGAAGGAAUUAAGGAAAUGAAGGUUCAUGAAGAAAAUGAACAUUGUAAAAUUAUUUUAUUGAUGAUUCAAAUAAGCUUAAACAUGGACUAUUUAUACACAGACUGACUUUCCACGAGUAUAGUAUAGGUAGUGCUAACAAAUGCUUACAUAACCUCAGAUAGUAUACAAAGAUAAGCUUAAGUAAUUUCAUUCAGCAGUUCUCUCUUCCAAUUUAACCUAUGUUCAGCUCUGUUUAAAAAAAACUUGUCUUUUGGCAAUUUUAUGCCAAACAGCAGUUCUCUCUUCAUAUGUAAUUAUAGAUUUAAGCUAUAAUGAUAUGGAAUGGAAAUAUUAGAAAACUUUGAUGCUUGUUUGUUUUAAAUAACAUGAUUUGAGGUGGAUGAUUCAGUCAUGAUUUUCUGAUAUUUUAGAUGAAUUGACAUUUGUAAAGUUGUAGCAGAGUGUUUAGGUUAUAUAUUAAGUUAAUAUAAUAUUUGUUUUUGGCUAAAUUGGUUUCUUUAGUGCCCUUUGAAAUUGUCCUAUUAUCAUAUAUAUAUGUAUGAGCGUUUGGUGUAAUGACUCAUUGACUGCACAUAGUAGUCAUCAAUUUUUUAUUGUUAUUGUUAAUUUUUUUGUUAAAGGGCUGCGCUAAAAUGAUAUAUAUAUAUAAACACGUGUAGAGGUAAAGGUUCCUGUUAUAGUGGCAGGCUGUAAGUUGGAUUUAAGGGAUGAACAACAAGCAGUUAGUUUGGAGUUGGUGAUGUCUCCUAUAAUGCAACAGUUUAGGGAAAUUGAAACCUGUAUUGAAUGUUCAGCAUACAAACAUAUUCAGAAUUUAUUGAAGACAUUUCACAAAUCAUAAAGUCCUACCUUAAGUUAGAACCCAGAUUAAAGCGUUCACUCAAACCGAUAAAGCUGCUAUGCUUGAUGAGAUUCUGGAUUAUGUGUAACAUUUACAGAUGCAAAUCAAGGUUCGGAGGUUGAUAAAGUCUGCAAAGCACUCGAGGUUGGUUGUCCCACUUGCUUGCUUCCUGGACCCAAGCUGAGAAGGAAUUCAAAGUGGAGGUUGAAGCAAUUGGGCAUGUGCACCACAAUAAUCUGGUGUGCUUAUUGGGUUAUCGUAUCAAGGGAACUCAUAGGUUGUUGGUGUAGGAGUAUGGCAACAAUUGAAAUUUAGAACAAUGGCUCCAUGGAGCUAUGCGCCAACAUGGAUAUCUUAAAUGUAGUUUAGUUUAAUGGUAAAUUCUAUGUGAUGCGCCAACAUGGAUAUAUUUUACAUGUGAUGCUCAUUUAACAGCUUAGUUUUAUAAUUUUGUGAUUAUGAUAAAGUUUGAGUUCAAAUAUAUUUAUUUUACUUCAGAUGA